RNAcentral lists this ribosomal RNA (305 nucleotides) under uncultured bacterium. RNAcentral describes it as "bacterial SSU rRNA". It matches the Rfam family "Bacterial small subunit ribosomal RNA", at positions 333 to 655 of the family's 1533-position model. The record is from RNAcentral.
UUAGCCUACGGGACGCAGCAGUGGGGGAUAUUGCACAAUGGGGGGAACCCUGAUGCAGCGACGCCGCGUGGGUGAAGGAGUGCUUCGGCAUGUAAAGCCCUAUCGGCAGGGAAGAAGCAAGACGGGACCUGACUAAGAAGCCCCGGCUAACUACGUGCCAGCAGCCGCGGUAAUACGUAGGGGGCGAGCGUUAUCCGGAUUCACUGGGUGUAAAGGGAGCGUAGACGGCCAAGCAAGCCAGGGGAGAAAGCCCGGGGCCCAACACCGGGACUGCCCUUGGAACUGCAUGGCUGGAGGGCGGGAGG